GUCACAAAGUGGUGGUCACGAAUAAUUGGGAUCUAAGCAUCCGUAGCCGGUUAUUAAGUCUCCUGUGAAUCUGACAGAAAACUGUCAGGCGUGCAGGAGAUACUGAUGAACUAGGAACCGGGAGGGGUUAGGGGUACUUCUAGGGUAGCGGUGGAAUGCUGUAAUCCUAGAGGGACCACCUGUGGCGAAGGCGCCUAACUGGAACGGAUUCGACGGUGAGGGAUGAAAGCUAGGGGAGCAAAGGGGAUUAGAUACCCCCGUAGUCCUAGCUGUAAACGAUGCCCGCUUGGUACUGGGAACCUUACGUGGGUUUCCAGUGCCGUAGGGAAGCCGUUAAGCGGGCCACCUGGGGAGUACGGUCGCAAGGCUGAAACUUAAAGGAAUUGGCGGGGGAGCACACAAGGGGUGUAGUCUGCGGUUUAAUUGGACUCAACGCCGGGAAUCUCACCAGGGGUGACAGCACUGUGAUGGUCAGUCUAAAGGGCUUACCUGAGGCGCUGAGAGGUAUUGCAUGGCCGACGUCAGCUCGUGCCGCGAGGUGUCCUGUUAAGUCAGGUAACGAGCGAGACCCGCACUUUAUGUUGCUAGCUUGUUCUUCGGAACUCGCGCACUCAUAAAGUACUGCUCGCGAUAAGUGAGAGGAAGGUGCGGUCAACGUUAGGUCAGUAUGGUCCGAAUCCCUUGGGCGACACGCGGGCGACAAUGGUAGGGACAAUAGGAUGCAACUCCGAAAGGAGGAGCUAAUCCCUGAAACCCUAUCUUAGUACAGAUUGUGGUUUGCAACUCAACCACAUGACGCCGGAAUCCCUAGUAAUCGAAAGUUAGCAUCUUUCGGUGAAUACGUCCCUGCUCC
This 853-nucleotide ribosomal RNA is filed under the name uncultured archaeon. RNAcentral describes it as "bacterial SSU rRNA". It matches the Rfam family "Archaeal small subunit ribosomal RNA", at positions 480 to 1336 of the family's 1478-position model. The record is from RNAcentral.